RNAcentral lists this ribosomal RNA (460 nucleotides) under uncultured bacterium. Its description in RNAcentral is "partial 16S ribosomal RNA". It matches the Rfam family "Bacterial small subunit ribosomal RNA", at positions 338 to 795 of the family's 1533-position model. The record is from RNAcentral.
CCUACGGGAGGCAGCAGUGAGGAAUAUUGGUCAAUGGACGAGAGUCUGAACCAGCCCAGUAGCGUGAAGGAUGACUGUCCUAUGGGUUGUAAACUUCUUUUAUAUGGGAAUAAAAUGUUCCACGUGUGGGAUUUUGUAUGUACCAUAUGAAUAAGGAUCGGCUAUCUCCGUGCCAGCAGCCGCGGUAAUACGGAGGAUCCGAGCGUUAUCCGGAUUUAUUGGGUUUAAAGGGAGCGUAGGUGGAUUGUUAAGUCAGUUGUGAAAGUUUGCGGCUCAACCGUAAAAUUGCAGUUGAAACUGGCAGUCUUGAGUACAGUAGAGGUGGGCGGAAUUCGUGGUGUAGCGGUGAAAUGCUUAGAUAUCACGAAGAACUCCGAUUGCGAAGGCAGUUCACUGGACUGCAACUGACACUGAGGCUCGAAAGUGUGGGUAUCAAACAGGAUUAGAUACCCGUGUAGUC